This 29-nucleotide small RNA is filed under the name Bombyx mori (domestic silkworm). Its description in RNAcentral is "ovarian small RNA-27160". The record is from RNAcentral. Lineage: Eukaryota; Metazoa; Arthropoda; Insecta; Lepidoptera; Bombycidae.
UCCCAGCAGCCGUGUUGUGUGGCCCGCGA